GAUGAACGCUGGCGGCGUGCUUAACACAUGCAAGUCGAACGGAAAGGCUCCUGCUUGCAGGGGCACUCGAGUGGCGAACGGGUGAGUAACACGUGGGUGAUCUGCCCCGCACUUCGGGAUAAGCUUGGGAAACUGGGGCUAAUACCGGAUAGGACCAUCGUCUAGUGUCGGUGGUGGAAAGUUUUUUCGGUGUGGGAUGAGCUCGCGGCCUAUCAGCUUGUUGGUGGGGUAGUGGCCUACCAAGGCGUCGACGGGUAGCCGGCCUGAGAGGGUGUACGGCCACAUUGGGACUGAGAUACGGCCCAGACUCCUACGGGAGGCAGCAGUGGGGAAUAUUGCACAAUGGGCGCAAGCCUGAUGCAGCGACGCCGCGUGGGGGAUGACGGCCUUCGGGUUGUAAACUCCUUUCGCCAGGGACGAAGCGAAAGUGACGGUACCUGGAGAAGAAGCACCGGCUAACUACGUG
This 466-nucleotide ribosomal RNA is filed under the name uncultured bacterium. RNAcentral describes it as "partial 16S ribosomal RNA". It matches the Rfam family "Bacterial small subunit ribosomal RNA", at positions 28 to 507 of the family's 1533-position model. The record is from RNAcentral.